Molecule: transfer RNA, 69 nt
Filed under: Ictidomys tridecemlineatus (thirteen-lined ground squirrel)
Lineage: Eukaryota; Metazoa; Chordata; Mammalia; Rodentia; Sciuridae
Description: Spermophilus tridecemlineatus (thirteen-lined ground squirrel) tRNA
Rfam family: tRNA
About the family: Transfer RNA (tRNA) molecules are approximately 80 nucleotides in length. Their secondary structure includes four short double-helical elements and three loops (D, anti-codon, and T loops).
Source: Rfam by way of RNAcentral
GGGGUUGUGGCUCAGUGGUAGAGCACUCGCCUAGCACGUGAAAGGCCCUAGGUUAGAGCCACAGCACCA